RNAcentral lists this transfer RNA (68 nucleotides) under Dasykaluta rosamondae (little red kaluta). RNAcentral describes it as "tRNA-Tyr". It matches the Rfam family "tRNA". Rfam says of the family: Transfer RNA (tRNA) molecules are approximately 80 nucleotides in length. Their secondary structure includes four short double-helical elements and three loops (D, anti-codon, and T loops). Further hydrogen bonds mediate the characteristic L-shaped molecular structure. tRNAs have two regions of fundamental functional importance: the anti-codon, which is responsible for specific mRNA codon recognition, and the 3' end, to which the tRNAs corresponding amino acid is attached (by aminoacyl-tRNA synthetases). tRNAs cope with the degeneracy of the genetic code in two manners: having more than one tRNA (with a specific anti-codon) for a particular amino acid; and 'wobble' base-pairing, i.e. permitting non-standard base-pairing at the 3rd anti-codon position. The record is from RNAcentral. Lineage: Eukaryota; Metazoa; Chordata; Mammalia; Dasyuromorphia; Dasyuridae.
GGUAAAAUGGCUGAGACUAAGCAUUGAACUGUAAAUUCAAAGACAGAGAUUGAACCCUCUUUUUACCA